This 424-nucleotide ribosomal RNA is filed under the name uncultured prokaryote. RNAcentral describes it as "bacterial SSU rRNA". It matches the Rfam family "Bacterial small subunit ribosomal RNA", at positions 355 to 796 of the family's 1533-position model. The record is from RNAcentral.
UGAGGAAUUUUCCCCAAUGGGCGCAAGCCUGAGGGAGCAACGCCGCGUGCAGGACGACGGCCUUCGGGUUGUAAACUGCUUUUGCGUGGGACGAUAACGACGGUACCACGCGAAUCAGCCCCGGCUAACUCUGUGCCAGCAGCCGCGGUAAUACAGAGGGUGCAAACGUUGUUCGGAAUUACUGGGCGUAAAGAGCGUGUAGGCGGCACGUUAAGUCGUCUGUGAAAGCCCAUGGCUCAACCAUGGAAGUGCAGUCGAUACUGGCAUGCUAGAGUCCCGGAGAGGGUGGUGGAAUUCCCAGUGUAGAGGUGAAAUUCGUAGAUAUUGGGAGGAACACCAGUGGCGAAGGCGACCACCUGGACGGGUACUGACGCUGAGACGCGAAAGCGUGGGGAGCAAACAGGAUUAGAUACCCCCGUAGUCC